This 4093-nucleotide long non-coding RNA is filed under the name Brassica napus (rape). Its description in RNAcentral is "long non-coding RNA (BNAP_LNC004361)". Lineage: Eukaryota; Viridiplantae; Streptophyta; Magnoliopsida; Brassicales; Brassicaceae. The record is from RNAcentral.
AUUCCCAAACUAGCAAACUGGAAUCACCUGAUUUGAAAGUGGGAAAACUUCUUCAUCCCAACUCCUAUGAGAUUUAUUCAACUUCCUGGUGAUUCUCCACCACUUUAUGUAUCCAAAUCAAGAUUCUUACAAAGUGAUUCAUCCUGGUUUGAUUGGAAUGAUGAAGAAGCUGUCCUAUUCCCAAACUGCAAAACUGGAAUCACCUGAUUUGAAAGUGGGAUAACUUCUUCAUCCCAACUCCUAUGCGAUUUAUUCAACUUCCUGGUAAUUCUCCAACACUUUAUGUAUCCAAAUCAAGCUUCUUACAAACUUAUUCAUCCUGGUUUGAUUGCAACGACUAAGAAGCUGUCCUAUUCCCAAACUGCGAAACUGGAAAUACCUGAUUUGAAAGUGGGAUAACUUCUUAAUCCCAGCUCCUAUGUGAUUUAUUCAACUUCCUGGUGGUUCUCCACCACUUUAUGUAUCCAAAUCAAGAUUCUUACAAAGUGAUUCAUCCUGGUUUGAUUGGAAUGAUGAAGAAGCUGUCCUAUUCCCAAACUGCAAAACUGGAAUCACCUGAUUUGAAAGUGGGAUAACUUCUUCAUCCCAACUCCUAUGCGGUUUAUUCAACUUCCUGGUAAUUCUCCAACACUCUAUGUAUCCAAAUCAAGCUUCUUACAAACUUAUUCAUCCUGGUUUGAUUGCAACGACUAAGAAGCUGUCCUAUUCCCAAACUGCGAAACUGGAAAUACCUGAUUUGAAAGUGGGAUAACUUCUUAAUCCCAGCUCCUAUGUGAUUUAUUCAACUUCCUGGUGGUUCUCCACCACUUUAUGUAUCCAAAUCAAGAUUCUUACAAAGUGAUUCAUCCUGGUUUGAUUGGAACGACGAAGAAGAUGUCCUAUUCUCUAACUGGAAAACUGGAAUCACCUGAUUUGAAAAUGGGAUAACUUCUUCAUCCCAACUCCUAUGAGAUUUAUUCAACUUCCUGGUGAUUCUCCAAUACUUUAUGUAUCCAAAUCAAGCUUCUUACAAAGUGAUUCAUCUUGGUUUGAUUGAAACGACUAAGAAGCUGUCCUAUUACCAAACUGCGAAACUGAUAUCACCUGAUUUGAAAGUUGGAUAACUUCUUCAUCCCAACUCCUAUGAGAUUUAUUCAACUUCCUGGUGAUUAUCCACCACUUUAUGUAUCCAAAUCAAUAUUCUUACAAAGUGAUUCAUCCUGGUUUGUUUGCAACGACUAAGAAGCUGUCCAAUUUUCAAACUGCAAAACUGGUGUCACCUUAUUUGAAAGUGGGAUAACUUCUUCAUCCCAACUCCUAUAAGAUUAAUUCAACCACCACUUUAUAUAUCCAAAUCAAGAUUCUUACAAAGUGAUUUAUCCUGGUUUGAUUGGAACGACGAAGAAGAUGUCAUAUUCCCAAACUGGGAAACUGGAAUCACCUGAUUUGAAAGUGGGAUAACUUCUUCAUCCCAGCUCUUAUGAGAUUUAUUCAACUUCCUCGUGAUUCUCCAACACUUUAUGAAUCUAAAUCAGGCUUCUUACAAAGUGAUUCAUCCUGGUUUGAUUGGAACGACGAAGAAGCUGUCCUAUUCCCAAACUGCGAAACUCGAAUCACCUGAUUUGAAAGUGGGAUAACUUCUUCAUCCCUGCUCCUAUGAGAUUUAUUCAACUUCCUGGUGAUUAUCCAACACUUUAUGUAUCCAAUUCAAGCUUCUUACAAAGUGAUUCAUCCUGGUUUGAUUGGAACGACGAAGAAGAUGUCCUAUUCCCAAACUAGCAAACUGGAAUCACCUGAUUUGAAAAAGUGGGAUAACUUCUUUAUCCUAAGUCCUAUGAGUUUUAUUCAAAUUCCUGGUGAUUCUCCACCAAUUUAUGUAUCCAAAUCAAGAUUCAUACAAAGUUGUUCAUCCUGGUUUGAUUGGAAUGAUGAAGAAGCUGUCCUAUUCCCAAACUGCAAAACUGGAAUAUCACCUGAUUUGAAAGUGGGAUAACUUCUUCAUCCCAACUCCUAUGCGAUUUAUUCAACUUCCUUGUUAUUCUCCAACACUUUAUGUAUCCAAAUCAAGCUUCUUACAAACUUAUUUAUCCUGGUUUGAUUGCAACGACUAAGAAGCUGUCCUAUUCCCAAACUGUGAAACUGGAAAUACCUGAUUUGAAUGUGGGAUAACUUUUUCAUCCCAGCUCCUAUGUGAUUUAUUCAACUUCCUGGUGGUUCUCCACCACUUUAUGUAUCCAAAUCAAGAUUCUUACUAAGUGAUUCAUCCUGGUUUGAUUGGAACGACGAAGAAGCUGUCCUAUUCCCAAACUGCGAAGCUGGAAUCACCUGAUUUGAAAGUGGGAUAACUUCUACAUCCCAGCUCUUAUGAGAUUUAUUCAACUUCCUAGUGAUUCUCCACCACUUUAUGUAUCCAAAUCAAGCUUGUUAGAAACUGUAUUCAACUUCCUAGUGAUUCUCCACCACUUUAUGUAUCCAAAUCAAGCUUCUUACAAAGUGAUUAAUCCUGGCUUGAUUGGAACGACAAAGAAGCUGUCCUAUUCCCAAACUGCGAAGCUGGAAUCACCUGAUUUGAAAGUGGGAUAACUUCUUCAUCCCAGCUCUUAUGAGAUUUAUUCAACUUCCUAGUGAUUCUCCAAAACUUUAUGUAUCUAAAUCAGGCUUCUUACAAAAUGAUUCAUCCUGGUUUGAUUGGAACAACGAAGAUACUGUCCUAUUCCCAAACUGUGAAACUGGAAUCACCUGAUUUGAAUGUGGGAUAACUUCUUCAUCCCUGCUCCUAUGAGAUUUAUUCAACUUCCUGGUGAUUAUCCAACACUUUAUGUAUCCAAAUCAAGCUUCUUACAAAGUGAUUCAUCCUGGUUUAAUUGGAACGACGAAGAAGAUGUCCUAUUCCCAAACUGGGAAACUAGAAUCACCUGAUUUGAAAGUGGGAUAACUUCUUCAUCCCAACUCCGUGGAAUCACUUGAUUUGAAAGUGGGAUAACUUCUUUAUCCUAAGUCCUAUGAGAUUUAUUCAAAUUCCUGGUGAUUCUUCACCAAUUUAUGUAUCCAAAUCAAGAUUCUUACAAAGUUAUUCAUCCUGGUUUGAUUGGAAUGAUGAAGAAGUUGUUCUAUUCUCAAACUGCAAAACUGGAAUCACCUGAUUUGAAAGUGGGGUAACUUCUUCAUCCCAACUCCUAUGCGGUUUAUUCAACUUCCUGGUAAUUCUCCAACACUUUAUGUAUCCAAAUCAAGCUUCUUACAAACUUAUUCAUCCUGGUUUGAUUGCAACGACUAAGAAGCUGUCCUAUUCCCAAACUGCGAAACUGGAAAUACCUGAUUUGAAAGUGGGAUAACUUCUUCAUCCCAGCUCCUAUGUGAUUUAUUCAACUUCCUGGUGGUUCUCCACCACUUUAUGUAUCCAAAUCAAGAUUCUUACAAAGUGAUUCAUCCUGGUUUGAUUGGAACGACGAAGAAGCUGUCCUAUUCCCAAACUGGGAAACUGCAAUCUCAUGAUUUAAAAGUGGGAUAACUUCUUCUUGCCAACUCCUAUGAGGUUUAUUCAAGUUCCUGGUGAUUCUCCACCACUUUAUGUAUCCAAAUCAAGAUUCUCACAAAGUGAUUCAUCCUUGUUUGAUUGGAACGAUGAAGAAGCUGUGCUAUUCCCAAACUAGGAAACUGGAAUCACCUUAUUUGAAAGUGGGAUAACUUCUUCAUCCCAACUCCUAUGAGAUUUAUUCAACUUGCUGGUGAUUCUCCACCACUUUAUGUAUCCAAUUCAAGCUUCUCACAAAGUGAUUCAUCCUGGUUUGAUUGGAACGACGAAGAAGCUGUCCUAUUCCCAAACUGGGAAACUGGAAUCACCUUAAUUGAAAGUGGGAUAACUUCUUCAUCCCAACUCCUAUGAGAUUUAUUCAACUUCCUGGUGAUUCUCCACCAUUUUAUGUAUCGAAAUCAAGCUUCUGACAAAGUGAUUCAUCCUGGUUUUAUUGGAACGACGAAGAAGCUGUUCCCAAACUGGGAAUCUGGAAUCACAUGAUUUGAAAGUGGGAUAACUUCUUCAUCCCAACUCUUAUGAGAUUUAUUCAACUUCCUGAUGAUUCUCCACCACUUUAUGUAUCCAAAUCAAACUUCU